CUCACUGUCAAUCAAACAACACCACGUUUUCGCGACGGCGCGGAAACGCUUGAGCGAUUUCACCGGCAGGCGGCGGAGGAUGUCCUCGAUGAGCUCGAACGGAAGAUUCGGCAUUCCUAUCACUCUGAGGAUUCGAAAAAGAUAAAGUGAAGGAUUCGAAAAAGAUAAAGAGAAAAAAAAGAAGAAACAGUUGGGGUGGUUGGUGAUAAAAAGACUUGUCGGAGAUGGAAAAGGUAAUAAUAAAUGGAGUUGGAAACCGGCGGCGGAGAGGCGGUGGUAAGGUAAUCCGUUGUGGCGUCUCAUCUGAGACCUGUCUAUCGUCUUAUUUUCUUUAUCUUUUAUUAUUGCAGGAAUUUAUCUUCUUUUUCACUUUUUCACUUUUUUUAAUUACUUUAUGAGUCCAAGUUGUUAGACUCAUAAUUGAUUCUAUUAGGUCAUCCGCAACGCUGUUACUCAUCCGUCCCUUAACCGUUCCUUAAAUUACUA
Salvia splendens (bonfire salvia) is the source of this 486-nucleotide long non-coding RNA. RefSeq lists it as uncharacterized. The transcript is spliced from 2 exons. Lineage: Eukaryota; Viridiplantae; Streptophyta; Magnoliopsida; Lamiales; Lamiaceae. The record is from RefSeq and is a predicted model, not a curated record.